RNAcentral lists this ribosomal RNA (253 nucleotides) under uncultured bacterium. Its description in RNAcentral is "partial 16S ribosomal RNA". It matches the Rfam family "Bacterial small subunit ribosomal RNA", at positions 524 to 776 of the family's 1533-position model. The record is from RNAcentral.
UACGGAGGAUGCAAGCGUUAUCCGGAAUGAUUGGGCGUAAAGCGUCCGCAGGUGGCUGUGUAAGUCUGCUGUUAAAUAGUGAGGCUCAACCUCAUAAAGGCAGUGGAAACUACGCGGCUAGAGUGCGUUCGGGGCAGAGGGAAUUCCUGGUGUAGCGGUGAAAUGCGUAGAGAUCAGGAAGAACACCGGUGGCGAAAGCGCUCUGCUAGGCCGCAACUGACACUGAGGGACGAAAGCUAGGGGAGCGAAUGGG